AUUGAACGCUGGCGGCAUGCCUUACACAUGCAAGUCGAACGGUAACAGGUCUUCGGAUGCUGACGAGUGGCGAACGGGUGAGUAAUACAUCGGAACGUGCCUAGUAGUGGGGGAUAACUACUCGAAAGAGUGGCUAAUACCGCAUGAGAUCUACGGAUGAAAGCAGGGGAUCGCAAGACCUUGUGCUACCAGAGCGGCCGAUGGCAGAUUAGGUAGUUGGUGGGAUAAAAGCUUACCAAGCCGACGAUCUGUAGCUGGUCUGAGAGGACGAUCAGCCACACUGGGACUAAGACACGGCCCAGACGCCGACGGGAGGCAGCAGUGGGGAAUUUUGGACAAUGGGCGCAAGCCUGAUCCAGCAAUGCCGCGUGCAGGAUGAAGGCCUUCGGGUUGUAAACUGCUUUUGUACGGAACGAAAAGCCCUGGGUUAAUACCCUGGGGUCAUGACGGUACCGUAAGAAUAAGCACCGGCUAACUACGUGCCAGCAGCCGCCGUAA
RNAcentral lists this ribosomal RNA (498 nucleotides) under uncultured bacterium. Its description in RNAcentral is "partial 16S ribosomal RNA". It matches the Rfam family "Bacterial small subunit ribosomal RNA", at positions 30 to 523 of the family's 1533-position model. The record is from RNAcentral.